This 500-nucleotide ribosomal RNA is filed under the name uncultured bacterium. Its description in RNAcentral is "bacterial SSU rRNA". It matches the Rfam family "Bacterial small subunit ribosomal RNA", at positions 28 to 507 of the family's 1533-position model. The record is from RNAcentral.
GACGAACGCUGGCGGCGUGCCUAAUACAUGCAAGGUCGAGCGGAAUGAAGAAGAAGCUUGCUUCUUCUGAUUUUGCGGCGGACGGGUGAGUAACACGUGGGCAACCUACCUUGUAGAUUGGGAUAACUCCGGGAAACCGGGGCUAAUACCGAAUAAUCCAUUUUGCUUCAUGGCGAGAUGUUAAAAGGCGGCUUCGGCUGUCACUACGAGAUGGGCCCGCGGCGCAUUAGCUAGUUGGUAGGGUAAUGGCCUACCAAGGCGACGAUGCGUAGCCGACCUGAGAGGGUGAUCGGCCACACUGGGACUGAGACACGGCCCAGACUCCUACGGGAGGCAGCAGUAGGGAAUCUUCCACAAUGGACGAAAGUCUGAUGGAGCAACGCCGCGUGAGUGAAGAAGGUUUUCGGAUCGUAAAACUCUGUUGUAAGGGAAGAACACGUACGAGAGUAACUGCUCGUACCUUGACGGUACCUUAUUAGAAAGCCACGGCUAACUACGUG